AAGGAUCAUUACAGUAUGAUUAGGGGGAGUUGGAUGCUGGCCCGCGAGGGCACGUGCGCGCUCCCCUGUUUGUUAUUACACACCUGUGCACCUAUGGCGAGCGUCUCCCAUUUUGGAGCCGUCUGAUGUCAAAAUUGGACCGGGGCGCUCCCUCUUUUUCUUGUUACAACCUCAGCCUGUUAAAACGCAUGUCUAAGCUCUACGGAGCUGAAAAAGUUAAUAUAACUUUCAACAACGGAUCUCUUGGCUUUCGCAUCGAUGAAGAACGCCGCGAAAGUGCGAAACGUAAUGUGAAUUGCAGAAUUCAGUGAAUCAUCGAAUCUUUGAACGCAUCUUGCGCUCCUUGGUAUUCCGAGGAGCAUGCCUGUUUGAGUGUCGUGAAUCCUCUCGAUCCCCUUCCUUUGAAAGGAGGGAGGGGUCGGAUUUGGACGCUUGCGGUGGUUUUUGACCGUCGCUCGUCUUUAAAUGCAUUAGCUUGGCCUCUCUGGAGUCGGUUCAAAGACGGUGUGAUAAUAAAACGUGUCUCGCCGUCGGGUCCGAUUCUAAUGUGAGGUAGCUUCCAAUCGCCUCCUUUUUGCAUCUGACCUCAAAUCAGGUAGGACUACCCGCUGAACUUAA
Molecule: ribosomal RNA, 618 nt
Filed under: Ramaria rubribrunnescens
Lineage: Eukaryota; Fungi; Basidiomycota; Agaricomycetes; Gomphales; Gomphaceae
Description: eukaryotic LSU rRNA
Rfam family: 5.8S ribosomal RNA (bases 224-378)
Source: RNAcentral